Long non-coding RNA from Asparagus officinalis (garden asparagus), 323 nucleotides. RefSeq lists it as uncharacterized. The transcript is spliced from 2 exons. NCBI's taxonomy places the organism in Eukaryota, Viridiplantae, Streptophyta, Magnoliopsida, Asparagales, Asparagaceae. The record is from RefSeq and is a predicted model, not a curated record.
CAGGGGCAGAUUUCCAUUAAUGGGGGUUGGAGUUGUACAGGGCAUGUGCACAAUAUCCUCCACGGCGUCUUCAUCAUCUUCAACUUAAACAAGGUGACGAAGGCUAUGUUCUCAGCUUUGCCAGCGGCCCCUACAAUGGAUGAAGUUUUGACUCACAUCAUGUUAUGCUUAUCCGAAAAGAUUCCAGCUGAUUUAUUUGGAGAUGUUGUAUCACUUUUAGACAUACAAAAUAGAUCUGGUCAAGACCAGUGCAUAUGUAUGUUGAUAAUAUAUGUGUGUAUUGUAUUGCUAAAUUUUAUAUUUAGAACAAAUCUAUUUAUUCU